This 505-nucleotide ribosomal RNA is filed under the name uncultured bacterium. Its description in RNAcentral is "partial 16S ribosomal RNA". It matches the Rfam family "Bacterial small subunit ribosomal RNA", at positions 28 to 507 of the family's 1533-position model. The record is from RNAcentral.
GACGAACGCUGGCGGCGUGCCUAAUACAUGCAAGUAGAACGCACAGUUUAUACCGUAGCUUGCUGCACCAUAAACUGUGAGUUGCGAACGGGUGAGUAACGCGUAGGUAACCUGCCUGGUAGCGGGGGAUAACUAUUGGAAACGAUAGCUAAUACCGCAUAAUAUUGAUUAUUGCAUGAUAAUUGAUUGAAAGAUGCUAUUGCAUCACUACCAGAUGGACCUGCGUUGUAUUAGCUAGUAGGUGAGGUAACGGCUCACCUAGGCGACGAUACAUACCCGACCUGAGAGGGUGAUCGGCCACACUGGGACUGAGACACGGCCCAGACUCCUACGGGAGGCAGCAGUAGGGAAUCUUCGGCAAUGGACGAAAGUCUGACCGAGCAACGCCGCGUGAGUGAAGAAGGUUUUCGGAUCGUAAAGCUCUGUUGUAAGAGAAGAACGGGUGUGAGAGUGGAAAGUUCACACUGUGACGGUAUCUUACCAGAAAGGGACGGCUAACUACGUG